ACCGGAUGCCGAUCUCGAAACCUGUCCCAGUUCGGACUGGAGUCUGCAACCCGACUCCACGAAGUUGGAUUCGCUAGUAAUCGCGCAUCAGCCAUGGCGCGGUGAAUACGUUCCCGGGCCUUGUACACACCGCCCGUCAAGCCAUGGGAGCCGGGGGCGCCUGAAGUCCGGGACCGCGAGGACCGGCCUAGGGCGAAACUGGUGACUGGGGCUAAGUCGUAACAAGGUACC
This 231-nucleotide ribosomal RNA is filed under the name uncultured bacterium. RNAcentral's name for it is "partial 16S ribosomal RNA". It matches the Rfam family "Bacterial small subunit ribosomal RNA", at positions 1260 to 1500 of the family's 1533-position model. The record is from RNAcentral.